Molecule: microRNA precursor, 124 nt
Filed under: Mus musculus (house mouse)
Lineage: Eukaryota; Metazoa; Chordata; Mammalia; Rodentia; Muridae
Description: predicted gene, 55707 (ENSMUSG00002075878.1, ENSMUSG00002076560.1)
Source: RNAcentral
CAUAUGUGUUUACUUGUAUAUGCAUUGCAUCUGUUGACAUGAUAUACAAAACAUAAACAAACGUGUAUAUGAAAGCACAGACACAGAGAAAAAAAUUGCAUUCAUUUAUACGUUUGAAUGAUAU